AUGGAGGGGCCCGACUCAUCGUGCUCCUGCUUGCUGAUCCACAUCUGCUGGAACAUGGACAGCGAGGCCAGGAUGGAGCCGCCGAUCCACACCGAGUACUUGCGCUGGGGGGGGAGCGAUGAUCUUUAUCUUCAUGGUGCUGGGCGCCAGGGCGGUGAUCUCCUUCUGCAUGCGGUCCGCGAUGCCAGGGUACAUGGUGGUGCCGCCCGACAGCACCGUGUUGGCGUACAGGGACAGCACAGCCUGGAUGGCCACGUACAUGGCCAGCGUGUUGAACGUCUCGAACAUGAUCUGGGUCAUCUUCUCGCGGUUGGCCUUGGGGUUCAGGGGGGCCUCGGUCAGCAGCACCGGGUGCUCCUCGGGCGCCACGCGCAGCUCGUGGUAGAAGGUGUGGUGCCAGAUCUUCUCCAUGGCGUCCUAGUUGGUCACGAUGCCGUGCUCGAUGGGGUACUUGAGCGUCAGGAUGCCACGCUUGCUCUGGGCCUCGUCGCCCACGUACGAGUCCUUAUGGUCCAUGCCCACCAUCACGCCCUGGUGCCGCGGACGCCCCACUAUGGAGAGGAAGACAGCCCGGGGGGCAUCGUCGCCCGCGAAGCCGGCCUUGCACAUGCCGGAGCCAUUGUCGACCACAAGCGCGGUGAUAUCGUCAUCCAUGGUGCGGUGGUCGCGAGCUGGACGCGGUCUCGGCGAUACUACCAGUUUUUAAUUAGGCUCCCUGAGCUCGUUCUAGUUUUUCUCACAUUUUGA
This 747-nucleotide long non-coding RNA is filed under the name Oryctolagus cuniculus (rabbit). RNAcentral describes it as "lncRNA (ENSOCUG00000036747.1)". Lineage: Eukaryota; Metazoa; Chordata; Mammalia; Lagomorpha; Leporidae. The record is from RNAcentral.